RNAcentral lists this ribosomal RNA (252 nucleotides) under uncultured bacterium. Its description in RNAcentral is "partial 16S rRNA". It matches the Rfam family "Bacterial small subunit ribosomal RNA", at positions 505 to 756 of the family's 1533-position model. The record is from RNAcentral.
GUGCCAGCCGCCGCGGUAAUACGUAGGUGGCAAGCGUUGUCCGGAAUUACUGGGCGUAAAGGGUGCGCAGGCGGACAUUUAAGUGAGAUGUGAAAGACCCGGGCUUAACUUGGGCAGUGCAUUUCAAACUGGAUGUCUGGAGUGCAGGAGCGGAGAACGGAAUUCCUAGUGUAGCGGUGAAAUGCGUAAAGAUUAGGAAGAACACCAGUGGAGAAGGCGGUUAUCUGGACUGUAACUGAUGCUGAGGCACGA